CCUACGGGUGGCAGCAGUAGGGAAUAUUGCUCAAUGGGGGAAACCCUGAAGCAGCAACGCCGCGUGGAGGAUGAAGGUUUUAGGAUUGUAAACUCCUUUUGUGAGAGAAGAUAAUGACGGUAUCUCACGAAUAAGCACCGGCUAACUCCGUGCCAGCAGCCGCGGUAAUACGGAGGGUGCAAGCGUUACUCGGAAUCACUGGGCGUAAAGAGUGCGCAGGCGGGCUUGUAAGUCAGAUGUGAAAUCCUGUAGCUUAACUACAGAACUGCAUUUGAAACUAUGAGUCUAGAGUGUGGGAGAGGUAGGUGGAAUUCUUGGUGUAGGGGUAAAAUCCGUAGAUAUCAAGAGGAACCCCGAUUGCGAAGGCAGCCUGCCGGGGUGCGACUGACGCUGAGGCUCGAAGGUGCGGGUAUCAAACAGGAUUAGAUACCCGUGUAGUC
Molecule: ribosomal RNA, 440 nt
Filed under: uncultured bacterium
Lineage: Bacteria
Description: partial 16S ribosomal RNA
Rfam family: Bacterial small subunit ribosomal RNA
Source: RNAcentral